GGGCCAGAGCAAGGGGGAGGUUUUCAAAUCUCACCAGGUCUAACAAGCAGGGGUUGAGAAUCACUGUUCCAAGCCUUUUGGGAGCUCUUCCUAUAAAAAUGCCUUCAAAGUCUAUGACACUUCCCAUGAAUCCUGUCAACAAGAUUCUUAUUUUAAAGACAGACUGGAUUUUAAAAAAAGAAACAGCUUUAGGUUGUUUAGAACUGAAUCUGUGGAAUAGGAGUGAAAUACUGGUCCUUGUCCUCAAGAGGAGGAGAAACCUCAGAAAUACACCUGGGAUCCUCGUGUGAGCCCAGGUGGUUUCAAAGGUAAUCAUUCACUGAGCACAAGCCGGAGCUCUGCUGAGGCCAAAGCUCUCAAGCAGAUCAGAGCUGGUUCUCCAGGCGAAUGGCAGCCAGGACCCAGGUCCUGAAUUCUCCUGCCACUGGGACUGCCUCACAUUGGCAUCUAUUUGAGGGGCUUUGCUAAAUGCCCUGGCCCGCUUCUGCCACAUGGAGUUGUGCCCUCAAAAUAUUCCUGGUUUCCGAGGCAAAGGUGCUCUCUAUUGUUCCUGUUUUGUGUCCAGCAUCUCCAGGCUGCACUGAAGCUCAAGCUGUGGCCUGGGGUUGAGGGUACCAGAUCCCAGGAAGGCUGAGAGUCCCUUAACAUCCCCAGGAAUGGGACAGAGUAACAUCAUAUACCUCCUGAUAUGCUACUCUGAGAUGAACCCAGCAUCACCUUUGGGGUACCCCAGCCAAGACUGUACAGCAUAAAUCAUCAUAAGGAAACAUCAGACAAACCUGAAAUGAGGAUGGCUGCUCCUGGUAACCAAGGUGCGAUCGGGAGGCUGCUUGGCAAUUGCUGAACUCGUUGCCUAGGAUCCACAAUUGAAAAGAAAAGCAUCUGUUCCCAAAGGAGACUGAAACAUAAACAGAAAAACCCAGCACCAUGUGCAGGCUGCAGGAACGGAAUGAGUGAUGGUGUGAAGGGAAGGCUUAGUCUUGAGUGAAUGAUGGAGGGCUUCUCUGAGGAGGCUAUAUACUUCAUGGGAGAGGAGUCAGCUGGCCAAGCAGAAGGGAAAGUGGGGGAGAAAAGCACAUUUUCUAUAAUGAGGGAGCUAUUUUAGAUACUGGGGCUUCCCUGGUGGCCCAGUGGGGAAGAAUCUGCCUGCCGAUGCAAGAGACUCAGGGAAGAUCCCUGUGUGGGGCAGGGGGAGAGGGGGCAAUCCCCUGGAGAAGAAAAUGGCAACCCACUCCAGUAUUCUUGCCUGGGAAAUUCCACGGACAGAAGAGCCUGGAGGGCUACAGUCCAUGGGGUCGCAAAGAGUUGGACCUGACUUAGUGACUCAACAACAAUAUUUUAGAUGUUGCUGGAAUAGUUUUUUUUUUUUUUUUUAAGCUUUAACAAAAGAGAAGGGAUGAGUGACUGUGAUGGCAGUGGGUUUCCAGUUUUAUCUUGCCACACAUGGGGAGUCACUAAAGAAUCUGGGGCAGGGAGAUAAUAGAAAGGGGUAAAUUAAAAGAACUGAGAGAAUGACAGCCAGUGAUGGCUAGCUGGCUGAAGCCCACACCCAGCCUCAUCAUUGAUUUAAUCAUUCAACAAAUAGUUAUGAAGGACCUGCCUGCCAUGCACCAGGCUGAAUUCCAGGAGCUGGAAAUCAGGCAUUGAACAGGACUAGCAAGGUCUCCGUUCUCCUGGAGGAGACUGACAAUAGAUAAACUAGUAAACAAGCAAGGAAGUAUCAGAUAAGUGCCUCUUGGAAAAUUAAACAAGCUGUUAAAAGUGUCCCUGAGCUUCUGCUCCUCACCCUCUUCCCCUCCUUCCAAAUACCCGCCAAGCCUCCUCCUGAGUUGUCUAAGGAGAUUUUGCUCCUAGGAAAAUCUCUAAGACUUCUAAAACUCGCCCGCUUCUGUGAGCAAGAGCCGUCCUCUUCUCCUAUUCCUAACCCCUCCCCCGCGUUCCCCCACCCCUCCGCGGGGAUUCCGGGAGGCUUCGUGUUCUGGGCACCGGUGAUGGAGGCUGGCUCAGCACCACCGGGCUCACCCUCCUGAGUACAGCAGGAAACCAGACGGACUUGUUUGCUACCCUUAUGGACCUUCAAGGGGAAGACAGACAUUAAAUAAAUACACGCCUGAAGAGUGUUUUAAAAGGAGGAAUAUGGGGGCAGACAAGGGCAUCGCACACCUGGAGGGAACCAGGAUGUGGAGCAGGGUCAGGAAAGGCCCCCUUGAGGAAGUGAUGUUUAAGCUGA
Bos taurus (domestic cattle) is the source of this 2230-nucleotide long non-coding RNA. NCBI's taxonomy places the organism in Eukaryota, Metazoa, Chordata, Mammalia, Artiodactyla, Bovidae. The record is from Ensembl.